Chroicocephalus ridibundus (black-headed gull) is the source of this 8351-nucleotide long non-coding RNA. RefSeq lists it as uncharacterized. The record is from RefSeq and is a predicted model, not a curated record. NCBI's taxonomy places the organism in Eukaryota, Metazoa, Chordata, Aves, Charadriiformes, Laridae. The transcript has 3 exons.
GGUACCUGAAGCUGAAAACAUUUCUGCGUGGUGCCUGCUUCUCCGUACAACGUGGCAUGUCUGCCUGUUCAUGCAGAGGAGGGGAGCAGGAGAAACAGUGGCUGUUUGGAGGAGGCUGUGGAACGGUCUUCUGGAGCUGCAGAGUCAACGGCACGUGUUCUGCCCCUUUGGGAAAAGCCGAAUUUGAUGUUGGUGGACCCCCUCCCUGGCCAAGCAGCGCCGUGUACAACUAAGAAAGCAAAAUGGGAAAAAAUUGGAGAGGAACUCCCUUAAUUGGGAUACCGCAUAGAAAAGUCUGCAGUCUGUGCAGUUCACAACAGCUUUUCUUUAAAACUUACCUUAAUAUUUCAUCCAUCUUAUCCAUAUAGUUCCUGCAGGUCCGUUUACCAACGAGAAUUCCGCUGGUGUCGAGAUGCUCAAAAGGGGCUCGGUCUGUCCUGAUCUCCUGUCCUGAAGCUACUCUGCGCUCAGGAAAUCCUGUCUCUCACCACACACCAGGCUAAAAACCACCCAAUAAAUCAAACCAGAGGAAAGGACUUCAGCUCAUUCUUCACUUAGGUGGAAGGUUAAAGUUGUCCAGGCAAAUCUAGCUCUUCUGAAGCUAAGAAAAUGUGCCAUGAAAUAACCUUAAAUCGUAAGUUUUCUCCUGAAGGUUGUACUUAACAUACUUAUCGUGGAUUUUUCUGCAGGACGCAGUUCAACUCCCUGAUUAAAGAUCGUACUGGAAGCGGGCCAGGCUGAAGUCUAUUUUGGUAGACCAAAAAUGGGUUGAAAGGGGAUGGAAAGGUUAAAAUAUUGCCUUAUUUAUGUGCAAAACAUGAACCGAGCAAGGUAAUACUGGACCGGUGCCUGAAAAGCCAAGAAGCGAGGCAAACUAUAAAUACAAAGGGAAACUAAACCAAUAUAUUAGUGUGUGAUCAGAAGAAAUGAAGUGCCUUAGCAAAUGAUCUCCUGUGGAGUGAGCGGCAGUAGCAGUUCCUGUGCAGGUUUUCAGUCCGCUCCCGUGGUGAGAGAACAUCGUGCGAUGGGCUAAGAGUGAAGAUGCACUUCCUUACUCGAGUUAGCGGGCAGGUGGCAAUCUGCAGUAAUGUUUUUGUUUUCAGCUGUGUGCUUGUACUUUUAAGAUGAUGAAUGACCAUAAAAUGCAGAUUAACCACUGCUGGUGACAAGGAGAAGAAUCAGGUAGCUGAUUUAUUUUUUUGUCCCCUCUCAGGUUUUAUGGGGGUCACCUUAAGUUGGUCUGGACUCUGGUUUUACUGUUCAGCAACAAAAGCAGUGUUGAAGCAGAAAUACUUCUCAGCACAUUCUAGGUAUGUCCUAUUAUUAAAGCUAUUGGUGAUACUCGAUCUGUCCUUGUCGUGGACCCCCAAAGGUGGGCUGUUCCUCUGGAGACCUUGCCCAGCCCUCGCCUGCCAGGCAGAGCAAGCAGCGCGGAGCACGGCGCCGUUCGUCACCAGGCUCUUUGCUGUCGCCGUUCGUCACCAGGCUCUUCACUGCCCUGUGUCGCUUGCGCAGAUCCAUUUCGCAUCUGACUCAGCGUCACUAUUUGCCACUGGGACGUUGUUGGCAAGUCAAGUCCUGGCGUGAGCUUGGGGGCUUUCUUGCACCCCUGCCCCCUGCGUAGUUAUUCAUUUAAUGGCUGUGUUACAGAAGGGAGCAGCUGUUGUUUUUAAUUUGAAUACAGAGCUGAUGUCUCUCAAGGAGUCUUUGUCCCCAUAUUAGGAGGGAACAGAAAGAAUACCGUACUGGAACCUUCUCGUGAUAUUUUUACUACAUCCUACUCAUUUUUUUUUCUUUUUCUGACAGAGGGUUAUAUAUCUUAAUUAUCUUUUGGCAAAUCAUUAUUUUUUCCAGUUUAUCAUUUCAUAUGUUUGAAAUGGAAGCUAUUUAUAGCCUUCACUUUGACUUGCUUCUGCCUAAAUAUAUUUUGGGGUUGCUUGCAAGGGUUAAGAAGCGACGCAGACAUCCCCUUUUAGGAAAAAUGGGGAAAUAAUCACAGACUCCUUUUCCUUCCUCUCGGACACAGUCACAAAGCUUUUACCAUUAUUGUCUGGUCAUUGCAGAGAAAUACAAUGAAAAUAUGCAAAAAGAGAGAAAAUAAAUCUGCUCCAAACCCACAUUUAAGUAACCAAGUUAUUUAAUAUGGUUGUGUGAGGUGGCAGCUGUGUAAGAGUAAGGUGUGAGAUAUACAGGGCAUCAUUGUUUAAGAAAAGCAGGGAUGUAUUCCAGUGUGCUGCGGACGCUUACCUGGGAACCUGCUUCCCGUUACACUUCAGGCAGUUCCCUGGACAAUUAAAUCUGCAGUUCUAUUACAUUCCUCAAUUCCUCAUUUGUGUCUCAUUCAGUGCUGAUUUUCAUCACCCAGUGAAACAAUUUGGGGUUUUACUUUUCCUGGAGAACAAAGCUAACAGACGGUAGAAACGCGUCAGUUUAUAGGUGUUGAACAAGUGAAUCUCCAUUCCGGGACUGCCCAAGAACUGCUGGAUUUGGGAUCCUGGUGCCAGGUGGCCGUGGGCUGUGGUCACUCUUAGGUGAGUAAACCAUUGAGAUAUGAGAAGUCUGUUCUCACCCCCUUAAAUCUUAACUCUAUGUUCCCCUUGUCACAGUGCCAUGGAAACAGCAAAAUUGCAGUAAUUCCUUAUGGCCAGGCCUCUGGGUCCCGCUAGUAAUUGUAAACCUUCAGAGUUCACCCCUGUUGAUAGAAGAGUUUUAGAAGCACGCAGAAGACUGGUAGAUCCCUUAGUCUGCAGCAUCGGGGAGCGGGAGAGACCUUCACGUCACAGCACAAGAUAAAAGGUCACCAUGUUUGCUGGGGGGCAGCAGCCUGACCACACCACAGUCGUGGUGAACGGAGCCGCUGCUUUGUGUGCCUCUUCCUCUCCCACCGCCUUUAUUUCAAACCCAGCAUCUUCCCGGGAGGCAGAUGCGUUCCUUUAGUUACUGCUGGUUGUUUAAUAACAGCCCUUCAGCCAUUGUGGGCCAGCUUUCAGGCUCGGGGGGUUAAAGCUAAAACUGAAGUACCGGCCGUCAGGUCAGUGCGAUCGUACUAGUAAAGAAGAAAAAGAUGUGCAGUUCCUAGAAAUGAAAGAGCUGGUUUAUUUUGUUAUGUUUUUGAGACAUUUUGCGACAUUAGCAAGGGUUGGACAAGUCCCACUGAAUCUCAGAAUUAACAAUGAGACUAAUGCAAAUGCAUAUUCUUUAGAGUAAUUCUUAAGAGUAAAACAUGUAGGGAUUUCAGUGGAAUCAUAGAAUCACAGAAUGGUUUGGGUGGGAAGGGACCUUAAAGGCCACCCAGUGGCACCCCCUGCCCUGGGCAGGGACACCUCCCACCAGCCCAGGUUGCUCCAAGCCCCGUCCAACCUGGCCUUGAACCCCUCCAGGGAUGGGGCAGCCACAGCUUCUCUGGGCAACCUGGGCCAGGGGCUCAGCCCCCUCACAGCAAAGAGUUUCUUCCCCAGAUCUCAUCUCAAUCUCCCCUCUUUCAGUGUAAACCCCUUCCCCCUCGUCCCAUGGCUCCCCUCCCUGCUCCAGAGUCCCUCCCCAGCUUUCCUGGAGCCCCUUUAGGGACUGGCAGGGGCUGGAAGGUCUCCCCGGAGCCUUCUCUUCUCCAGGCUGAACCCCCCAGCUCUCUCAGCCUGUCCCCACAGCAGAGGGGCUCCAGCCCUCCCAGCAGCCCCGGGGCCAGCACAAUCAUUCUAGUGCUACACUCAGGUAAUAGAAUUUGGCCCCAAGAGACUGAAGAGAACUAUAUCGCUUUUAUUGAGUUGAAUAUAGCUGUCGUGCUCUGUUCAGAAGAAUAUUUUAAUCAGGCCCCAUAUAAUAUUACCUGUACUCUAUGACUAAUUUCUACAGAAAUACUAAUUUAAUUCUAUAGCAAUUUAUUGCCUAAGAAAGAACUAAAUUGCUGGGCAGGAUAAUGGCGAGAAGAAAGAACCUAGCAGGAGGGUUAAGUGUGGCGGAUUUCCUUGACCACAAGGGUACCAACUAUAAUACAAGGAAACAAAGUUCCUGGAAGAAGAAUAAAUAAGGAGCUGAAUACCUCACUAGCAGGUAGGAGCUGCUUAAUCUGAUGAACGACAUUGUGCUUUUCCCUGCUUGGAAGCCAGGCUCCAUCUUGCCCGACAUAAAAGCUGUUUCACAGCCUCAAGCCAUGAGCUCAUAAACAACACAGAAAAUAAUGUUGUUAUUGUAGUAUUUCUGCUGAUUUCCUCUCCAUAUCAUUACCUUGCUAAAUCAGAAAAAAAGCUAUGCUAAGAAACGUAAAUUGUUCUCAAAAUCAAGGGGGAGAGUGUUUGCAUGGGUUUAUUGGUGUUGGUUUUUUUUAAACGUUAUGGAUUAUGUUGGUAAACUCGUAUUAAGUGGGAAGUGGUUUUACUUCUUCCCCUGCAGGUUUUACAAUUAUUAAAAUACAGAGGUUAUAAUGUAAUUUAUUUAAAUCUGUUCCGAGGAACGUAGAAUAAAAUACUCAAAAUUACUCAGGCCUGCCGAGUUUUUGAGGAUCCUUUCAGAAAGAUUUACAAGUGUCUGAAUGAACCCAGGAAGAUUAAACAUCAGAAGUACACUGCUUAAAUAAUGAGCUUGUAAUCGCAGCUCUUAUGUACUAGAAACAGGCAUUUUGGUCCUUUGCGCUCCUCAGCUGAGCUGGAAGCUGCCUCCCCUUAAUUCGCCUUUACUCUACCGCGGAACUUCCUUUGCGCAGGGCGCUGGGGCUCCGCUGGCUUCGAUGGCCAGGCUCCGACCGCAAACUGCAUCAACAAACAUUUUGCUUUUCGUUAGAGUAAUUCGGAUUUCAGAUUCCUAAUUUGCCAAACCGGAGACCGAGAUCAAAAUUUAUUGUUAGUGUAAGCAGACGUAAGUCCCUUGGUCUGAAAAGGUUAAAGGUCAUUGGAAACGAUCCCAGUACAAUCUCGGAAUAACGGGACUCCUUUUGCAUCCCACAUUUCUUGGAAACCCCCUAAAAAAGAAGCAGAGGUCACGCAAGCGUCGGAGCUGGGUCAGGAGCAAGUGGUUGUGCGUUUGCAGCGAUGGCACGUUUUGUAUCUAAACAUUCAAAAAAUUCUGUCUGAAGUCUCCCGUUCAAAGUAUCGGCAUACUCAGGGCUUUGCUAACGGCCGCCUGCGAGUCCUGCCCCAAACAGCAAUAAAUGUGACUUGAACCCUGCCUGCUUCGCGAGUCUGUGUCCGACUGUGAUGGUUCUCAUGUAACUUUUUUACCUACUUCUUUUCCCUCUUCCUGCUCCCCCGCCUGUGGACGGGCUGGAGCUGGGUCGCAGUGGGGGAAGGUCCGAUGGCUGUGCGCGGGUCAGUUCUGCGAUGGCACAACGCCGCUUCCGUCAGACCCUUCACCUCAUCUGGAGGUUAGAAAUUAUUCAAAAGUGAGAGGGGUGAGAAAUGUAUUAGCGUGAUCCGUUUCCAGCCCGAAGGCUUGAAUCCAGUUUUGAUUAGAAGACGGGAAGCUAAUUUCUUGGAAAGAUUCAUUUGGUUCCAGUCCUCCCUCCUAACGCCUUUCUGUAGCUGCUGGCCCAGCGUGGCUCCGUAGUCGUACAUCCAGCCGAAUGCGACCCAGCGCCUUUCCGUCUCAAUCAGAAGCUGAAAACAUGUUUCGACGUAGAUGAAAAUAGCGUUUCCAUUUCAUCUGCGGGCUCCGGUCUGGCAUGGCUGUGACUGGAAUCGAGAAGGUGGUUUCUCAGAGCCGCGAAUGCUUGCCUGGCUCUUCGAGGGGACAAACAGCUAUCAGCUCUUUACCUGGCCAUAAAAAUACAUUUCCUAUAUAGAAUGUGUCAAAUCCUUUUCCUGGCGUGACAGUAAAUGCUAAGAGGAUUGCCAGCCUGGGACAGACAGACUUGAAAUGGUGCUGGAGUAGUGUUCAGCUUAGCUUUUUCCUAUUUAAAAAAAAAAGGGAGGGGGAAUUUAACGCUGGAAAACUGAACCAACUUUGCGGUCUGGGAUAUUGUAAACUCCGUUAAUCAACAGGGCAGGUUCACCAAUAGCUUCAGGAAAUCAAACUUUCUUCUGUGAUCUCUUCUCAGUGUACCUCGGCCCCGAGUCGGAGAGGAAUCUGAUGGUGCAAAGAAUCAGAAAGUGACUUUUAAGCUGUUCAGCUCCCUCAGGCCUUGACAUCCCCAAAGGUAACACCAAGAGCCGGUUACAGGGCGGCCUCCUGCCAACGUGGGAGCGCUGCCGUAAGAAACACCCCUUCGUCUCCUAUUGCCCAGGGAAACGUUUGGUUCUCCUGAAGCACUGUAAGAGCUGACAGGAAAGGCUUUGCUUUUGUUUCUUAUUUUUAAACAUAACUUCCAGUAUCCUGAGCCUUAGCUGUCUUCCUCUCACUUCAGCCCGGGCGUGCGCAGAUCAGGUUUAUUCUGUUAGCCCUUGGCAGCGCCGGCGCUGGUGUAAGUAGCUGUUUCCCCGUAACGAACCCGGAGUCAAGCACGGCAGAAGACUUGCGCGGUGCUCAAACAGAGGAGAGGGACGACAAGGACCGGAGGUAAGCAGCAGACUGCCGGCAGCGAGGUGGCACCUGGGCAGCGUGAGCACUGCCCAGGUAAGGGCUGGCAGAGAGGAGAUCUUCUCCCUCCUGUUUUCUGCGGGCAGCAGGGGUGCUGCGGGCAGGGAAGCCGCCACUGCAGCCGUGGGAUGGGCUGAGACUUUGGAGCAGCUGCAUUUAACAGACUGUGCAGGAGGCUCCCUGGAGGCUUUCAUGGUUCUUGCACUUCUAACGGGAGUGACUGUGGUCUAACCGUGGAAAGGAGGAUGGGGGUGACAGAGGAUUGCUGCUGUACCCGCUGGCUGCUCAGCGCUCUGUUUGCCCCCGUUUCAAUAACGAGGGCAUGUUACUUUAACUAAACACCUUGUUUAAGGCCUUACUGUUUUUGAGGCAUCGACAGGUAAUGAUAGUGGAGAGAAAAAGGCACCUUUUCCCAGUCCCGAGGUAGUUCGGAGACGUGUGUUCCUCUCCAUCUGCUCAGGAACGAGACCAUGAUCGAGGCAGGCAGCAGGACUGAAGAAAGUCAAACCUUUGAUUCUCUCCUUGGCUCGUGGUCAGUUGAGUGCUUUACACACAACCCCGUUAGACACAGUCCCUACGGUUCGGGUAUAUCUCUCCUCAACAGGUUCCAAGACGUCCCUUGUUUGAAAAACCAUUAAUAAAUGAAAGUGGCUGUCUCUUUCCAUGCUAGAAACUCUUUCUUCCCUCAGUAUCUCCUGGGUCAUGUAUGGGAUGUGCUGUUCCAAGCCCAGAUUCACAUUUCAGUGUAAUUAGAUUGUCAUCCCUAUCUCUGUUGUAAUGAAAUAACAAGCCAAGCACGGGCAGAUAGGAGACUUAAACACUGCUGGGCUGCCAGCUUUGGAGAGCAGAUCCAGGUAAUUUGUUUUAAUGGGACAGUUUAUUACCAGCUUUUCUUCCCCUUAGACAGAUGACCGCUUAUUUUCUCCUGCCUGUUAAUGAAAAAAAAAAAAUUGUGAAUGAACAACAGUUUCUUGCAAUUUGUUUAAAAAUAUACUUUGGCCACAGCCAGUGUAGGCAGGAGUAGCCUCUUUGGACUCGUCCCAGGGGGUGUCCCACUGAAGCGGGUGUCUUGCUGCGUGGGAAGGAGUUUGGGCAUUGGGGAAUGUAAUGACUCCCCCCCUUUUUUUUUAAAUAGCUGCAUGUUAGAGAACAGGGAAGGUUCUGCCUUUCACUGGGUUCAGUUCUGCCAUCUCAUUGCCCUGUUCUUCCCUCCCUUCCGUCCUCCCAAAUUCCCUCUAGAUGCCUCCUGCUUCCCCUUCUGCCAGCUGGGAGAGUGAGGCUGGGAGAGCUGGGAGUGCUCCGGAGCUCCCCGGCAUUUCCCACUCCUCCGAGACCGCGCGGAGACCUGCACCAGAACGCCGACACUCUGCAUCACGCCUGGCCUGCGACACGGGGUGCGUCUCACCGGACUCCGACGCUGCGUAGCGAGAGCUCAAACUGCCCGGGGGCCAGCAGGAGCCGGGGCCAGGCGGCUGCGGGGUCUGACGGCACCGAGCAGCUCGCGACGGGCGCCCAGAGCGCAAUCGUGACUGGGAUGGUGAAUUGGGACCGGUGGGGAUUAGCAGCUGGGUGAUGUGGGUGGCAGGCAGAGCGCGGGUCUGGACACAAGCGCAUCGGCAGAGAAUAACCCAAUAAUGAAGGUUCAGCAUAAGGACAAAAGAAGGGACUUUGACAGCGGAGAAAAUUCCUUGCCAUUAGAGACAGGGCAUGGUUAGACAGGGAGAAAUGGGUGGAGGCGGAGAAAGUACAAAGAAGCCAAAACCCUCUAGAACAGGGACAGUCUUUAAAUAGACAUUUGGAGCUAAGGAACAUCGUUACAUACCUGUUCGCUCUGCAUCCAGGCA